CGAAAGCCCGCAGCCCGACUUGAACGGAAAUCCUUUUUUGCGUGGUAUCAAGUUCUACUGACUGAAAAUAGUAUGCAAAAAAGAUUGGGAGUGGAAGGCGGAAAAGCUG
RNAcentral lists this small RNA (109 nucleotides) under Epilithonimonas lactis. Its description in RNAcentral is "Chryseobacterium halperniae Flavo-1 RNA". Lineage: Bacteria; Pseudomonadati; Bacteroidota; Flavobacteriia; Flavobacteriales; Weeksellaceae. The record is from RNAcentral.